CCGCUUUCAGCAGGAACGAAAAUGACGGUACCUGCAGAAGAAGGAGCGGCCAACUACGUGCCAGCAGCCGCGGUGACACGUAGGCUCCAAGCGUUGUCCGGAUUUAUUGGGCGUAAAGAGCUCGUAGGCGGUUUAGUAAGUCGGGUGUUAAAACUCUGGGCUCAACCCGGAGAGGCCAUCCGAUACUGCUGUGACUUGAGUUCAGGAGGGGAGCGGGGAAUUCCUAGUGUAGCGGUGAAAUGCGCAGAUAUUAGGAGGAACACCGGUGGCGAAGGCGCCGCUCUGGACUGAAACUGAC
Molecule: ribosomal RNA, 298 nt
Filed under: uncultured Actinomycetes bacterium
Lineage: Bacteria; Bacillati; Actinomycetota; Actinomycetes
Description: uncultured actinobacterium partial 16S ribosomal RNA
Rfam family: Bacterial small subunit ribosomal RNA
Source: RNAcentral